GAGUCCUCAUCAAUGCUCCAAUGGGGUAACAUACAUACAUUAAGUUUGGUUUACAUAAAACAUUAUUAAACCAUUACAUUUGAAAGAUCAUGUAUCAAAAGGGAUAACCAUACAAACUAGGGUCAAGCACACUCUAAUCCUCAAUAACAUCAUUACAUUACAUAACUAUUCAAUACAAUACAUUUCAAUAUCCAUCAUGUCCACCACUAGCUAUUACAUAAACAUGACUUUACUCUAGCUGACCUCCUGGUCUAUCCCGUACC
This 263-nucleotide long non-coding RNA is filed under the name Manihot esculenta (cassava). RNAcentral describes it as "long non-coding RNA (MESC_LNC009988)". Lineage: Eukaryota; Viridiplantae; Streptophyta; Magnoliopsida; Malpighiales; Euphorbiaceae. The record is from RNAcentral.